GGGGCAGAGCCGGCAUCGGGCGCUCUCUCGGCGGCCGCUGCCUGCGGUAGCUGCUGCUGUCUCCGAGAGACUGGAGAGCUUCCCUGGCCCACACCGGAUUGAUAGCGCCCUUGAUCUGAUGUGCGAAGGGGAAAACCCCCCUCAUUUUCCCUGCCGUUCAGCUGGGACGUGUGUUAUCGCUACAUUUCCCGCGUGGAUUUUUAUCAACGUUUUUAAACACAGGGCUAGUUCGCAUUGGCGCACGCCUUUCAGAAAAGCCUUUCAAACGCAUUAGGAGCGGAGCAAGCCCACGGCAGCGAGCAGGGGUCCGGACUCGGAGCGGGGCAGGCGCUGCAGGACGGGAAAGAGAAGCGGCCCGGGCUCCAGCGGAGGCCGCGGCGGCGGUGCCGGCGGCUCCGGCGCUGCCGCUUUAAGGGCGGGCGGGCGGCGGGAGCGCGGCCCGGCCCGGCCCCGGCACAGCGGCGGCGGCAGCAGCAGGCCCUGCAAUGCCAGAGUCUUCCUGCAAACUCUGAAGAUUCAGUGGAAGAACCCUAAAUGGGAGUAGAUUGCUGUGUGUAUAUCUUCAAGGCAGAGGGAGAGAGAUGUUAAAAGGUUGCACAUUCAAUUUUUAGCUCUAUCGGCUGUCCCACUAACAGGUCGUUUCUCACUGGGACUUGCCAUUCAUCACUAUGAAAAACAACGUCCUGUGAGUUCGUUUCAAGCUUUGUGCCUCAUCACUUGCUUCAGAUAAGCUGUGC
Long non-coding RNA from Vidua chalybeata, 737 nucleotides. RefSeq lists it as uncharacterized. Lineage: Eukaryota; Metazoa; Chordata; Aves; Passeriformes; Viduidae. The record is from RefSeq and is a predicted model, not a curated record. The transcript has 3 exons.